AUUGAACGCUGGCGGAAUGCUUUACACAUGCAAGUCGAACGGCAGCACGGACUUCGGUCUGGUGGCGAGUGGCGAACGGGUGAGUAAUAUAUCGGAACGUGCCCAGUCGUGGGGGAUAACGUAGCGAAAGCUACGCUAAUACCGCAUACGAUCUACGGAUGAAAGCGGGGGAUCGCAAGACCUCGCGCGAUUGGAGCGGCCGAUAUCAGAUUAGGUAGUUGGUGAGGUAAAGGCUCACCAAGCCGACGAUCUGUAGCUGGUCUGAGAGGACGACCAGCCACACUGGGACUGGGACACGGCCCAGACUCCUACGGGAGGCAGCAGUGGGGAAUUUUGGACAAUGGACGCAAGUCUGAUCCAGCCAUUCCGCGUGCAGGACGGAGGCCUUCGGGUUGUAAACUGCUUUUGUACAGAACGAAAAGCUCUGAGUUAAUACCUCGGGGUCAUGACGGUACUGUAAGAAUAAGCACCGGCUAACUACGUGCCAGCAGCCGCCGUAA
RNAcentral lists this ribosomal RNA (500 nucleotides) under uncultured bacterium. RNAcentral describes it as "partial 16S ribosomal RNA". It matches the Rfam family "Bacterial small subunit ribosomal RNA", at positions 30 to 523 of the family's 1533-position model. The record is from RNAcentral.